AAAUUCUUAACGGCCGCGGCACUAAAACCGUGCAAAGGUAGCACAAUCACUUGUCCCUUAAAUGAGGACCCGUAUGAAAGGCAACAUGAGAGAAGACCUGUCUCCUAAGGCCAGCCAAUGAAACUGAACUACCAGUACAAAAGCUGGUAUUUACAAGCAAGACAAAAAGACCCUAUGGAACUUUAACAAAUAUUUACAAAACAUAAAUUUAUAGUUUCAGUUGGGACAACUUUAAAGAAAAUUAACCUCUUACAACACACUAGACCAACAAGUCUAUAACCGACUCGACCCAGUCACACUGAUUAACGAAACAAGCUACCCUAGGGAUAACAGCGCUACCUUCUCAAAGAGUCCAUAUCAACAAGAAGAUCUACGACCUCGAUGUUGGAUCAGGGUACCCAGACGGUGCAGCAGCUGUCAAUGGUUCGUUUGUUCAACGACUAAUACCC
RNAcentral lists this ribosomal RNA (449 nucleotides) under Bradypodion sp. E7. Its description in RNAcentral is "partial 16S ribosomal RNA". It matches the Rfam family "Bacterial large subunit ribosomal RNA", at positions 1914 to 2596 of the family's 2925-position model. The record is from RNAcentral. Lineage: Eukaryota; Metazoa; Chordata; Lepidosauria; Squamata; Chamaeleonidae.